This 469-nucleotide ribosomal RNA is filed under the name uncultured Syntrophorhabdaceae bacterium. RNAcentral's name for it is "bacterial SSU rRNA". It matches the Rfam family "Bacterial small subunit ribosomal RNA", at positions 337 to 797 of the family's 1533-position model. Lineage: Bacteria; Pseudomonadati; Thermodesulfobacteriota; Syntrophorhabdia; Syntrophorhabdales; Syntrophorhabdaceae. The record is from RNAcentral.
UCCUACGGGUGGCAGCAGUGGGGAAUAUUGGGCAAUGGGCGAAAGCCUGACCCAGCGACGCCGCGUGGGUGAUGAAGGCCUUCGGGUUGUAAAGCCCUUUCGUGCGGAAAGAACUGUCCCAUUGUUAAUACCAAUGGGAUUUGACGGUACCGCAGGAAGAAGCACCGGCUAACUCCGUGCCAGCAGCCGCGGUAAUACGGAGGGUGCAAGCGUUGUUCGGAAUUAUUGGGCGUAAAGGGCGCGUAGGUGGUUAUGUAAGUCAGAUGUGAAAUACUUCGGCUCAACUGAAGAACUGCAUCUGAAACUGCAUAGCUAGAGUACAGGAGAGGGAAACGGAAUUCCCGGUGUAGAGGUGAAAUUCGUAGAUAUCGGGAGGAACACCUGUGGCGAAGGCGGUUUCCUGGCCUGAUACUGACACUGAGGCGCGAAAGCGUGGGGAGCAAACAGGAUUAGAUACCCCGGUAGUCCC